Bos taurus (domestic cattle) is the source of this 620-nucleotide long non-coding RNA. NCBI's taxonomy places the organism in Eukaryota, Metazoa, Chordata, Mammalia, Artiodactyla, Bovidae. The record is from Ensembl.
AUCCACUCCCAAUCAGGUUAAACAAAAUGAGAAGUGGUAGAACUGCUAGCCUCUGCCGUGUCCGUGUGGCUGCUCUACUCAGCAUCUGUGUGAUUCAGAAGACAAAGAUGGUCUAUAUUUGGGUAACAGCUUAGGCAAAGAAAGUGUUUCAAUCUGUUUGGGCCAAGGUUCCCCCAAAAGCAGAACUUGAGACAAAGCUCACAUGGUUUCCCUUGUGGCUCAGUGAUAAAGAAUCCACCUUCCGGUGGAGGAGACGCAGGUUCCAUUCCUGGUCCAGGAAGAUCCCAGAUGCCAUGGGGCAACUGUUGCACCUGAGUGAUCUAGAGACUGUGCUCCGCAACAAGAGAAGCUGGCUCGGUGAGAAGCCUGCAUACUGCAACUGGAGAGUGACCCCUGAUCGCCGAAACUAGAGAAAAACUAGCCGUGAAGACCCAGCACAGCCAAAACUAACUUUUUUUUUAAAGAGAAGAACAUCCCACUGUCCCAAAAAACUUGUCAACUGAAGUUAGGCUGGAGGGACACAAGAUUUCAAAUGUCUUUUAAUGUCAUUCUAAUGUUCUCUUUAAGGAAGCACCAUUAGGCUGGUGGCUUUGGGGUCAUUUGGACUGGUUUCAGAUUUU